This 252-nucleotide long non-coding RNA is filed under the name Drosophila guanche. Lineage: Eukaryota; Metazoa; Arthropoda; Insecta; Diptera; Drosophilidae. The record is from RNAcentral.
ACCGAAUUGCAAUCACUUGGCAUGCGCUCUAAAGCAGUCUUGAAAAGCCUGACCAAUGCAUGAUGUUCAUGAAGCAUUUGCUGUAGAUCUUGGAGAAUUGCUCUCUUCGUAGCUGUGUUGAUCCCUUGACGCCUGUCAAGUUGUUCUUCCAUAUUGCCCAUAUUGCAAGAAUUUAUGCUGUGCAUCUUCUAUAGGUUGCAAUGAUCCAAUGCGAUGGUAAUAGGAUUUUCAUUCAAGCACUUUGUGGUAAAC